This 451-nucleotide unclassified non-coding RNA is filed under the name Hevea brasiliensis (rubber tree). The record is from RNAcentral. Lineage: Eukaryota; Viridiplantae; Streptophyta; Magnoliopsida; Malpighiales; Euphorbiaceae.
GCUCAUUGAAACACCAGCAAGAUCAGCCAUACUUCCCAUGCUGUAUUCUGUACUUAAGACACUACUAUCAUCCAACUGAUUAUCCGAUAACUCGUUCUCUCGUGUUGUUUUUUGAAGUUUCAAUGCAUAUUCCAAGUUCCACAAAACUUCUCCCAUAGUCGGACGGUCUGCACCAUAUUCAGCCAAGCAUUUCUCAGCAGUCUCUACAAACUUCAUCUGGGAUUCUGGUGUAAUCUCGUGUGCAAUCCUAGGAUCAACGAUUGCCUCUGAUUCUCCUGUCCUUAAACAUUUCAUCACAUAUUCAACCAAGUUUACCGAUUCUCUAGGAAGAGAGGGAUCGAUAACGGGCCUUCCACAGAGGACUUCAAACAUUACAACACCAAAGGAAUAGACAUCAGAUUUAUCGGUUAGUUGUUGCCUUGUCAAAUACUCUGGAUCAAGAUAUCCAAAA